GGGCCCGUAGCUCAGCUGGAAGAGCGUCGGGCUUUUAACCCGAGGGUCCCGGGUUCGAGUCCCGGCGGGCCCG
This 73-nucleotide transfer RNA is filed under the name Thermoprotei archaeon. Its description in RNAcentral is "tRNA-Lys". It matches the Rfam family "tRNA". Rfam says of the family: Transfer RNA (tRNA) molecules are approximately 80 nucleotides in length. Their secondary structure includes four short double-helical elements and three loops (D, anti-codon, and T loops). The record is from RNAcentral. Lineage: Archaea; Thermoproteati; Thermoproteota; Thermoprotei.